CCAGCCAUACAAUAGAAUUAUAAAGCAGAAAAGUUUAGACAGAAUUUCCUAUUUAAGUGCCAAAACUUCAUACUCCACUUCUGAUAAAGACCACAAAGGUUUUAAAAAAAAAAAAACCUUAAUUUUUGACCCAAAGCUCUGUUGACAUUCUAUUAAACAAACAUCAACCUAUUUAAUUUUCAUAAUGUAAAUGGCAGAUAUUUUUAUAAUUCUUACGCUAAUAAAUCAUUUCCCUGAUGCUUUUGGUAAAACCGAAUAUUCAUAAUAAAGUCCAGAAGCAUGAAUUGUUUUAAAUAAUUUCUUCUUUGUGAUUACAAGUUUACCUCCACAGGAAGUUAGUAUACUCACACAGAAGAUAAUUCUUCGGAAGAAAAGGCCAACUGUAGAAUCUGCUAGAAACACAGUAAUGAUAAUCCUCCACAGAAUGACAAGGAGGUCAUUCGCAAAAUACAAAUAUUCAAGAAGAAACGUGAUCACCUGCAAUAAUAACAGUUGAAAUAAUGAAAAGGUCAAUGACAUUUAUGAUAUUUCAGUAAAUAAUAAUAAUCUUUAGAAACCAUGAACCUCCUCCAAGAGAAAACCACACCCCUCAGAUAACACCAGGAGAUUCCACUGUUUCAAAACAGAUUGGAAGUUACCAGUCUCAUGGUUUUUGCAUGGCUGGUAGUGUUUUGAGGCAUUCCAAAUGUAGAGUGUGUUUUUUU
RNAcentral lists this long non-coding RNA (704 nucleotides) under Aotus nancymaae (Ma's night monkey). Its description in RNAcentral is "lncRNA (ENSANAG00000038790.1)". The record is from RNAcentral. Lineage: Eukaryota; Metazoa; Chordata; Mammalia; Primates; Aotidae.